UACAGAGGUGGCAAGCGUUGUUCGGAAUUACUGGGCGUAAAGGGCGCGUAGGCGGUCUUUUAAGUCUUGUGUGAAAUCCCUCGGCUCAACUGAGGAACUGCACGGGAUACUGGAAGACUUGAGUCCGGAAGAGGAGAGUGGAAUUCCUGGUGUAGCGGUGAAAUGCGCAGAUAUCAGGAAGAACACCUAUGGCGAAGGCAGCUCUCUGGGACGGUACUGACGCUGAGACGCGAAAGCGUGGGGAGCGAACAGG
Molecule: ribosomal RNA, 253 nt
Filed under: uncultured bacterium
Lineage: Bacteria
Description: partial 16S ribosomal RNA
Rfam family: Bacterial small subunit ribosomal RNA
Source: RNAcentral